This 443-nucleotide ribosomal RNA is filed under the name uncultured bacterium. RNAcentral's name for it is "partial 16S ribosomal RNA". It matches the Rfam family "Bacterial small subunit ribosomal RNA", at positions 338 to 795 of the family's 1533-position model. The record is from RNAcentral.
CCUACGGGAGGCAGCAGUGGGGAAUAUUGGGCAAUGGGCGCAAGCCUGACCCAGCAACGCCGCGUGAAGGAAGAAGGCUUUCGGGUUGUAAACUUCUUUUCUGAGGGACGAAGAAAGUGACGGUACCCCAGGAGUAAGCCACGGCUAACUACGUGCCAGCAGCCGCGGUAAUACGUAGGUGGCAAGCGUUAUCCGGAUUUAUGGGGUGUAAAGGGCGUGUAGGCGGGAAAGCAAGUCAGAUGUGAAAACUCAGGGCUCAACGCUGAGCCUGCAUUUGAAACUGGUUUUCUUGAGUGCUGGAGAGGAAAUCGGAAUUCCGGGUGGAGCGGGGAAAUGCGUAGAUAUACGGAGGAACACCAGUGGCGAAGGCGGAUUGCUGGACAGUAACUGACGCUGAGGCGCGAAAGCGUGGGGAGCAAACAGGAUUAGAUACCCCAGUAGUC